RNAcentral lists this transfer RNA (73 nucleotides) under Bos taurus (domestic cattle). It matches the Rfam family "tRNA". From Rfam's summary of the family: Transfer RNA (tRNA) molecules are approximately 80 nucleotides in length. Their secondary structure includes four short double-helical elements and three loops (D, anti-codon, and T loops). Further hydrogen bonds mediate the characteristic L-shaped molecular structure. tRNAs have two regions of fundamental functional importance: the anti-codon, which is responsible for specific mRNA codon recognition, and the 3' end, to which the tRNAs corresponding amino acid is attached (by aminoacyl-tRNA synthetases). tRNAs cope with the degeneracy of the genetic code in two manners: having more than one tRNA (with a specific anti-codon) for a particular amino acid; and 'wobble' base-pairing, i.e. permitting non-standard base-pairing at the 3rd anti-codon position. RNAcentral also lists the same sequence under 6 other names. The record is from Rfam by way of RNAcentral. Lineage: Eukaryota; Metazoa; Chordata; Mammalia; Artiodactyla; Bovidae.
UCCCUGGUGGUCCAGUGGCUAAAACUCCAUUCUCCCAAUGCAGGGGGCCCAGGUUCAAUCCCUGGUCAGGGAA